Molecule: ribosomal RNA, 414 nt
Filed under: uncultured microorganism
Description: bacterial SSU rRNA
Rfam family: Archaeal small subunit ribosomal RNA
Source: RNAcentral
GUGCAGCAGGCGCGAAUCCUUCGCAAUGCGGGAAACCGCGACGAGGGGACUCCCAGUGCCUACGCUCAGCGUAGGCUGUUCCCGAGCCUAGAAAGCUCGGGGAGUAAGGGCUGGGUAAGACGGGUGCCAGCCGCCGCGGUAAUACCCGCAGCCCGAGUGGUGGCCACUAUUAUUGGGCCUAAAGCGUCCGUAGCCGGCCCGGUAAAUGCCUGGGUAAAUCGUGAGGCCUAACCUCACGAAUUCCGGGUAGACUGCCGGGCUAGGGACCGGAGGAGGGAGAGGGGUACUCCAGGGGUAGGGGUGAAAUCCUGUAAUCCCUGGAGGACCACCGGUGGCGAAGGCGCUCUCCUAGGACGGGUCCGACGGUAAGGGACGAAAGCCAGGGGAGCGAACCGGAUUAGAUACCCGUGUAGU